CAGCCGCCACGGUAAAACGUAGGUGGCGAGCGUUGUCCGGAUUUAUUGGGCGUAAAGGGAGUGUAGGCGGUCUUUUAAGUCUGAUGUGAAAGCCCACGGCUCAACCGUGGAGGGUCAUUGGAAACUGGGAGACUUGAGUGCAGAAGAGGAGAGCGGAAUUCCAUGUGUAGCGGUGAAAUGCGUAGAUAUAUGGAGGAACACCAGUGGCGAAGGCGGCUCUCUGGUCUGUAACUGACGCUGAGGCUCGAAAGCGUGGGGAGCAAACAGGAUUAGAUACCCGUGUAGUCCCUGUCUCUUAUAC
This 301-nucleotide ribosomal RNA is filed under the name uncultured bacterium. RNAcentral describes it as "partial 16S ribosomal RNA". It matches the Rfam family "Bacterial small subunit ribosomal RNA", at positions 509 to 807 of the family's 1533-position model. The record is from RNAcentral.